This 253-nucleotide ribosomal RNA is filed under the name uncultured bacterium. Its description in RNAcentral is "partial 16S ribosomal RNA". It matches the Rfam family "Bacterial small subunit ribosomal RNA", at positions 524 to 776 of the family's 1533-position model. The record is from RNAcentral.
UACAGAGGUCUCAAGCGUUGUUCGGAUUCAUUGGGCGUAAAGGGCGCGUAGGCGGCUUUGCAAGUGACGGGUGAAAUCCCUCGGCUUAACCGAGGAACUGCCUGUCAAACUGCAUGGCUUGAGACCGGGAGAGGUGAGUGGAAUUCCCAGUGUAGCGGUGAAAUGCGUAGAUAUUGGGAGGAACACCAGUGGCGAAGGCGGCUCACUGGACCGGUACUGACGCUGAUGCGCGAAAGCGUGGGGAGCAAACAGG